CAUGUUUUUCCUAGUACUGUAAAUGAUUCUGUUUUGUGGAACAAAAGACUUGGUCAUUUAGCUAUUCCACUUUGAAGCAAAUUAGCUCAAAUGGUUUAAUUCAAAAUUUACCUUCCAUUGGAAAUGAUGUUGAUGUGUGUGAUGUAUGCCAAUUUGGAAAGCAAAGUAGAUUGUCAUUCCUUGCAGUAGCAAGCUGGAGAGUUACUGAAAAAUUGCAACUUAUACAUACUGAUGUGUGUGGUCCAAUGAGUAACUUCUCUAAAUGGAAACAAGUAUUUUCUGCUAUUUAUAAAUGAUUUUAUAAGGAUGAGUUGGGUGUUUUUUCUAAAGCAAAAGUCAGAAGUGGUUGCUUCAUUUUAGAAUUUCAAGCCUAUGGUUGAAAAUGAGGUUAGAUGUCAAAUUAAAAAGCUCAGAUCUCACAAUGGGAUUGAGUAUACAGCAGGAGAAUUUAAAAAACUGUGAACAAGAAGGAAUUCAGCAUCAAUUCACUGUUCCUUACUCUCCUCAACAAAAUGGAGUGAGUGAAAGGAAAAACAGGACAGUGAUGGAAAUGGCUUGGUGUUUGCUCUUUGAGAAAGGUCUUCCUAAGAGUUUUUGGGCUGAGGCUGUAAAUACCUCAGUUUACUUGCUGAAUUUGUUGCCUACCAAAGCCUUGAAUGGCAAAACACCAUUUGAAGCGUGGUUUGAAAGGAAGCCUUCGAUGGAGCAGUUGAGAAUAUUUGGUUGUGUUCUACACUCAUGUUCCAGCUGUAAAAAGAGAUAAGUUGGAUCACAAGUCAGAAGUUGACAUCUUUUUGGGGUAUAGUAAUAACUCCAAAGGAUACCGAGUGUACAAUUUGGAGACAAAAAGAAUUCUGGUUAGCAGAGAUGUGAAGUUUGAUGAAGUUUCCAAAUGGAAUUGGGAGAAAUGUCAAGCUGAAGACAAUUUGCAAGAACUGAAUUUUGAUGAUGAAGAAGAAAACUAUGACAGCGACACUGAUUUUCCAGUGAAAGGUACAAGAUCCUUGCAAGAUGUUUAUACAAAAUGUAAUGUUGCUGCAUUAGAGCCAAAAAGGUAUGAUGAAGCUGCUGAAUUUGAGAAUUGGAGAGCUACCAUUCAAGAGCAGAUGAAGAUGAUAGAGAAAAAUCAGACUCAGACUUGGCGACUUGUUGAUAGACCAAUUAAUAAAAAUGUGAUUGGUGUAAAGUGGGUUUACAGAACUAAGCUCAAUCCUGACGGUUUUGUAAACAAACUUAAGGCUAGAUUGGUGGUAAAAGGCUAUUUGCAGUAGCCAGGUGUUGAUUUUUCAGAUACUUUUGCACCAGUUGCAAGGCAUGAUACAAUCAGAUUAUUGAUUUCUAUGGCAGCAAACCAUGGUUGGAAAAUCUAUCAUUUUGAUGUAAAAUCAGCUUUCUUGAAUGGCUUGCUUGAUGAGGACAUAUAUGUUGAUCAACCUAAAGGUUUUCAAGUUCCGGGAAGUGAAGAUAAAGUCUACAAACUUCAAAAAGCUCUCUAUGGCCUAAAACAGUCUCCAAGAGCUUGGUAUAGCAGGAUUGAUAGUUAUCUUUUGAAAAAGGGCUUUAGAAGAAGUGAAAAUGAAGCCACCUUGUAUGUGAAGAAGUGGAAAAAUGAAAUGCAGCUCAUUGUUUCCUUGUAUGUUGAUGAUUUGUUGGUUUUAGGAAAUGAAUCUGAUUCCCUAAACCAAUUUAAGAAGGACAUGGAAAAAGAAUUUGAAAUGACUGACUUGGGUGAAAUGAAGUAUUUUCUUAGGAUGGAGAUUUCUCAGUCUAAUGAUGGGAUCUUCAUUUCACAAAAGAAAUAUGCUUUGGAGAUAUUGAAGAAGUUUCGCAUGGAGCAAUGCAAGCCUGUUGUCACUCCAAUUGUUGUGAAUGAAAAGUUAUCAAUAAAUGAUGGUAUUGAUUUAGCAAAUGAUUCUGUUUAUAGAAGUAUAAUUGGUAGUUUGUUGUAUCUGUCAGCAACAAGACCAAACAUUAUGUUUCCUGCAAGCUUGUUUUCUAGAUUCAUGCAUUCACCUAUUCAAGUUCAUUUCCGUGCUGCAAAGAGAUUUUUGACGUAUAUAAGAGGUACAACUGAUUAUGGUUUGUAUUUCUUAAAAACUGAAAGUGGAGAACUUAAAGGAUAUGCAGAUAGUGACUGGGCAGGAAGUGUAGAUGAUCCUUAGAGCACCUCUGGUUAUGCUUUCUCAUUUGGUAGUGCUGUUUUUUCAUGGAAUUCAAGUAAGCAAGAUGCUGUGGCCCAAUCCUCAGCUGAAGCUAAGUAUAUUUCAGCUGCAGCUACAGCAAAUCAAGCUAUUUGGCUAAGGAAGAUUCGGUUAGAUGUGGGUCAAAUUCAAGAUGGAGCUACUGUCAUUUGGGUGGACAAUAAGUCAGUCAUUUGUAUUGCCAACAAUCCUGUCCAGCAUGGAAGAACUAAGUAUAUCAAGGUGAAGUUUCAUGACAUUAGAGAAGCUGUGAAGUCAAGAGAAAUCAGCUUGGAGCAUUGCAGCUCUGAAGAACAGAUUGCUGACAUAAUGACAAACGCACUUUCCAAGGGAAAGUUUGAAAUGCUACUAAGAUCAAGACUUGGAGUGCACAAGAAAACUCUCAAGGAGGAGUGUUAGAAUUGAGACUUUUCUUGUUAUUUUUGUAUUAAAAUAUGUUGCUGUUAUGUUUCUGAUAUAAGUUAGUAUUAGUCAACAUGUAGUAGGUGAAAUUGAAUGAAAGACCUUGUUUUAAGGGAGUGGUUAAGCUAAGUCAGUAUGAGGUGUGUUGUGUUGCUUGUAACUUUGUAUUUUCACCAACUACAAGUCACUUAUGUAUGCUGGAAAAACCAGAACGAAAAUACAUUUCUAUCUUCCAUCAUUUUCUGCUGGUUGUUGUGAUCUUUCUUUUAUGUUUUCUUCUCCCAUUUCACUCAUGUUCAGUUUUUAGUUUCUUACUUUAACAUAUAUUUAUAGGAAAGGGUAAUUUCAAAUUAUGUUAAAGUAUAGUAUAUAAAUAUAUUUUAAUAUUUAUAGAGUAUAGAAUAUUCUUAUAU
This 3016-nucleotide long non-coding RNA is filed under the name Glycine max (soybean). RNAcentral describes it as "long non-coding RNA (GMAX_LNC000897)". Lineage: Eukaryota; Viridiplantae; Streptophyta; Magnoliopsida; Fabales; Fabaceae. The record is from RNAcentral.